Molecule: long non-coding RNA, 803 nt
Filed under: Olea europaea subsp. europaea
Lineage: Eukaryota; Viridiplantae; Streptophyta; Magnoliopsida; Lamiales; Oleaceae
Source: RNAcentral
CUCUUCCCCAAAAAUCUAAUCGGCACUCUCUUUCCCAAAAAUCAAAUAGACUGCUUCUUCUCCACCCUAUUCUCUAGAUUCCGACCACCUACCACCGGAAAGCACAACCACCACCAGACUGUCGCCACCAAGCUCUCCCCCUUCCCUUCUCCAUCCUUCGUUCUCUGUUUGUUGGGGAUGACAUUGCACCGUGCCACCGUCGCCUGAAGUGGCCUUUGACAGUCCGGCGCAAUGGUCAACGUGUUUAGUUUCUGGAAAAUGUGUUUAGGAAAAAGGUGAUGCACCUUAAUUGAUUAAAGGUCUUGAUAUUAGGAAAAAGGUCUUUUAGUUUCUGGAAAAUGUGUUUUUGGUAUUUCCUCUUGUACCAGUGUGUAAUAAAUAUUGUUGUAGAUGGAACAAAGUAAAAGGAGAAUGCCAAAUCUUUUCCAGAAGAGGUGUUUUUAUAUAAUAAUAGAUUUCUAGGCAGGCUUUAAUGAUUUAAAUGAGCACAUUUUCUGGUGCAGAACAACAGGACCUCGAGUAAAAUGCUAUAAACUUGGCCUGCAAAAUGUUCGAAGUAUGCAUUUAAAUUUUGCACUUUUUGGUCUUUUUUAACAUAACUGGUGGCCUUGUUCUACUUUGUAAUAUUUGGUUACUACAAUUGGAUUAAUUAGUUGUUGUACUAAUUUUUCAACAUAUUUGGUUGCUGCAAUUGGAUCUUCCUCUGCAAUCUGAUGUUUUGUGUAUGGUAGUAGAUGGCUUAAUCUGUGGUGGAUGGAAAUCGUUGCUUGUAUGGACGAUGGCGAUACAGAUUGUGAAUCCGG